CUGUAUUAACCGAGAAAUGCUGCUCUCGGGUUUGGGCUGUUGGGUGGUCAGGUACCAGUACGGCAUUGGCCGAGUACCGGUACGCCGCACUGUUUCUGCUUGGCCGAGGCUCGAGUUGGCAGUUUUGUUGAACUGGUACAGGUACUCUUGCCCGCGUACCGAUACGCAGUGUAAAAACUGCAGUUCGUGCAGUUUGUGAUUUUUGGUGUUUUGAGAGAUUUUUUGGGAAUUGUUACAACAUGUUAUAUAACCCCCUCAUCUC
RNAcentral lists this long non-coding RNA (262 nucleotides) under Ananas comosus (pineapple). RNAcentral describes it as "long non-coding RNA (ACOM_LNC042644)". The record is from RNAcentral. Lineage: Eukaryota; Viridiplantae; Streptophyta; Magnoliopsida; Poales; Bromeliaceae.